RNAcentral lists this ribosomal RNA (432 nucleotides) under uncultured Glomus. RNAcentral describes it as "SSU rRNA". It matches the Rfam family "Eukaryotic small subunit ribosomal RNA", at positions 569 to 1006 of the family's 1831-position model. The record is from RNAcentral. Lineage: Eukaryota; Fungi; Glomeromycota; Glomeromycetes; Glomerales; Glomeraceae.
AGCAGCCGCGGUAAUUCCAGCUCCAAUAGCGUAUAUUAAAGUUGCUGCAGUUAAAAAGCUCGUAGUUGAAUUUCGGGAUCAAUAUGUUGGUCGUGCCUCGGUACGUACUGGCAUUGUUGGUUUCUACCUUCUGACGAACCAUGAUGUCAUUCAUUUGGUGUCGUGGGAAAUCAGGGCUGUUACUUUGAAAAAAUUAGAGUGUUUAAAGCAGGCUCACGCUUGAAUACAUUAGCAUGGAAUAAUGAAAUAGGACGUUUGAUUCUAUUUUGUUGGUUUCUAGGAUCGACGUAAUGAUUAAUAGGGGUAGUUGGGGGCAUUAGUAUUCAAUUGUCAGAGGUGAAAUUCUUGGAUUUAUUGAAGACUAACUACUGCGAAAGCAUUUGCCAAGCAUGUUUUCAUUAAUCAAGAACGAAAGUUAGGGGAUCGAAGACG